This is a non-coding RNA of Pelobates cultripes (western spadefoot toad), 311 nucleotides long. The record is from the annotation of a GenBank genome assembly. Lineage: Eukaryota; Metazoa; Chordata; Amphibia; Anura; Pelobatidae.
AUAACACAGAGGAGAUACAGUCACAACGGUAAAGGUUCCUGGAACACACAGGACAUACAGUCACAUCAGUAAAGGUUUCUGGAACACUCAGGAGAUACAGUCACAUUGGUAAAGGUCCCUAUAACACACAGGAGAUACAGUCACAAUGGUAAAGGUUCCUGGAACACACAGGACAUACAGUCACAUAGGUACAUCAGUAAAGGUUUCUGGAACACACAGGAGAUACAGGUAAAUCAUGCACACAGUGAGGAAACAUUUUUGUGAUUUUCUUCAAAGAAAAAUGCAUACCUUCCAAGUGUCCCAAUUAAGGG